AGUGAAAUUCAGAAGAGACUAUUCACACUAAGCACUGCAUACAGCUACUUUCAGAAAUAAGUUUACCAACUGCAUUUAGGAACGUGAUUACAAGGAAGAUAAAAUAAAUUUCCUGAACUGCAGAAUGGAAUGUGACCAACUUCUUCACUUUUACGCUGUAAUCAUGGUUCUGAAAAAUAAAAUAAAAAAUCUGGACAUCUGAACUAUCACUGCUUUCCCGAACAUAGCAGAAGGAACAAAGUAAUGCCAGAACAGGAUUUGAAGAUCCUCUUCAAUAUUCCAGAGAAGUUUCCACUUCUGUCAUUAUCCAGUGUCAGAGUGAGAAUAGGUAUGAGG
Molecule: long non-coding RNA, 336 nt
Organism: Lagopus leucura (white-tailed ptarmigan)
Lineage: Eukaryota; Metazoa; Chordata; Aves; Galliformes; Phasianidae
Exons: 4
Source: RefSeq, a predicted model, not a curated record